GAUGAACGCUAGCGGCAGGCUUAAUACAUGCAAGUCGAACGGCAGCGGGUCCAGCAAUGGAUGCCGGCGAGUGGCGCACGGGUGCGUAACACGUAUGCAACCUACCUUUAACCGGGACAUAACCCCGAGAAAUCGUGGCUAAUAUUCCAUAAUAUCUUUGAAUCGCAUGGUUUGAAGAUCAAAAUUCCGAUGGUUUUAGAUGGGCAUGCGCGACAUUAGCUAGUUGGUGAGGUAAUGGCUCACCAAGGCUACGAUGUUUAGGGGGUCUGAGAGGAUGAUCCCCCACACUGGUACUGAGACACGGACCAGACUCCUACGGGAGGCAGCAGUAAGGAAUAUUGGGCAAUGGGCGCAAGCCUGACCCAGCCAUGCCGCGUGCAGGAUGACAGCCCUACGGGUUGUAAACUGCUUUUAUACGGGAAAAAACCCUCUGACGUGUCAGAGGCUGAUGGUACCGUAAGAAUAAGCAUCGGCUAACUCCGUGCCAGCCGCCGCAGUAA
This 500-nucleotide ribosomal RNA is filed under the name uncultured bacterium. RNAcentral's name for it is "partial 16S ribosomal RNA". It matches the Rfam family "Bacterial small subunit ribosomal RNA", at positions 28 to 523 of the family's 1533-position model. The record is from RNAcentral.